AUUGAACGCUGGCGGCGGGCCUAACACAUGCAAGUCGAGCGGAUGAAGGGAGCUUGCUCCUGGAUUCAGCGGCGGACGGGUGAGUAAUGCCUAGGAAUCUGCCUGGUAGCGGGGGAUAACGUCCGGAAACGGGCGCUAAUACCGCAUACGUCCUGAGGGAGUAAGUGGGGGAUCUUCGGACCUCACGCUAUCAGAUGAGCCUAGGUCGGAUUAGCUAGUUGGUGGGGUAAAGGCCUACCAAGGCGACGAUCCGUAACUGGUCUGAGAGGAUGAUCAGUCACACUGGAACUGAGACACGGUCCAGACUCCUACGGGAGGCAGCAGUGGGGAAUAUUGGACAAUGGGCGAAAGCCUGAUCCAGCCAUGCCGCGUGUGUGAAGAAGGUCUUCGGAUUGUAAAGCACUUUAAGUUGGGAGGAAGGGCAGUAAGUUAAUACCUUGCUGUUUUGACGUUACCAACAGAAUAAGCACCGGCUAACUUCGUG
This 484-nucleotide ribosomal RNA is filed under the name uncultured bacterium. Its description in RNAcentral is "partial 16S ribosomal RNA". It matches the Rfam family "Bacterial small subunit ribosomal RNA", at positions 30 to 507 of the family's 1533-position model. The record is from RNAcentral.